Astatotilapia calliptera (eastern happy) is the source of this 712-nucleotide long non-coding RNA. NCBI's taxonomy places the organism in Eukaryota, Metazoa, Chordata, Actinopteri, Cichliformes, Cichlidae. The record is from Ensembl.
UGAAGCUUUCGCUGUGCGCUGGAAAGAGAAGCUGGCCAGGGGUUACACUUAACUGUUUAUCUAUCUGCCAAACUGGAACGUACAGGGAGGGCCGAACACACAUAAUACAGUAGCUGCUAAUGUGUUAACGAAAUGAAGCUCAACAGACCUGGCCUUGGAACUAGAUGAAGCUGUCUGUCACGGCGGGGUGCACACCCGAUGUGGAAACAGGACCCAAAGCAGAUGAUGACGAGGAGUAACAUCUACAGGAAGCGGUGCCUGAGGAAAGCGGGGAGGAUCAUCAAGGACUCCAGUUACCCCAGCCAUAAACUGUUCAGACUGCUUCCAUCAGGAAGGAGGUUCUGCAGCAUCCGGUCCCGUACCAGCAGACUGAGAGACAGCUUCUUCCAUCAGGCCAUCAGACUGCUGAACACGUCAUAGACACCUCAGCUUCACUACUGGAACUUCAACAUUAUGCACUCCACACUGUAUAUAAAUGCCACUUGUUUUGCACAUAUUCAACUCUGUAUAUUCUAUAUAUUUUAUUAUUAUUAUUAUUAUUUUUUAUUAUUUUUAUUUAUCUAUUUUUUACUAUUUAAUUUGUAAAAAUGUGUAUACACACACACACAGGAAAAUAUUUAGUAUACACAUCCAGAAAUGCAUACACUAUUAUAUAUUGUACAUACAGUGGGGCAAAAAAGUAUUUAGUCAGCCACCGAUUGUGCCCCCACUU